GAAAUGCGAUACGCAAUGCGAAUUGCAGAAUUCCGCGAAUCAUCAGAUUCUUGAACGCAACUGGCGCUGGAGGGAUAUCCUUCCAGCAUGUCUGUUUCAGUGUCUGAAAACUUCCUAAUCAUUCUAAUGUGUUUGACAAAUGUUGAUGAUUAUUCAUCUUCUAGAGUCUUACAUGAAAGAUGUAUGUGUGGGUCUUUGGAUCCAUCGAAUUGGUCACUGAUUCUUCGGUGAUUUCGAUUGGAUAUUACCAAUUACUCGUAUACACAUAGAAUUUAUUUAUCUUUAUCAUCUGCAUCUGAAAUCAGGCAAGAAAACCCGCUGAACUUAA
RNAcentral lists this unclassified non-coding RNA (328 nucleotides) under uncultured fungus. RNAcentral's name for it is "sequence contains ITS1". The stretch from base 1 to 105 matches the Rfam family "5.8S ribosomal RNA", at positions 50 to 154 of the family's 154-position model. The record is from RNAcentral. Lineage: Eukaryota; Fungi.